CAGCCGCCGCGGUAAUACGUAGGGUGCAAGCGUUAAUCGGAAUUACUGGGCGUAAAGCGUGCGCAGGCGGUUUGUUAAGACAGAUGUGAAAUCCCCGGGCUCAACCUGGGAACUGCAUUUGUGACUGGCAAGCUAGAGUGUGGCAGAGGGGGGUGGAAUUCCGCGUGUAGCAGUGAAAUGCGUAGAUAUGCGGAGGAACACCGAUGGCGAAGGCAGCCCCCUGGGCCAACACUGACGCUCAUGCACGAAAGCGUGGGGAGCAAACAGGAUUAGAUACCCCAGUAGUCCCUGUCUCUUAUAC
RNAcentral lists this ribosomal RNA (301 nucleotides) under uncultured bacterium. RNAcentral describes it as "partial 16S ribosomal RNA". It matches the Rfam family "Bacterial small subunit ribosomal RNA", at positions 509 to 807 of the family's 1533-position model. The record is from RNAcentral.